Molecule: ribosomal RNA, 495 nt
Filed under: uncultured bacterium
Lineage: Bacteria
Description: partial 16S ribosomal RNA
Rfam family: Bacterial small subunit ribosomal RNA
Source: RNAcentral
AUGAACGCUGGCGGCGUGCCUAAUACAUGCAAGUCGCGCGAACGGACGAGAAGCUUGCUUCUCUGAUGUUAGCGGCGGACGGGUGAGUAACACGUGGAUAACCUACCUAUAAGACUGGGAUAACUUCGGGAAACCGGAGCUAAUACCGGAUGAUAUUUUGAACCGCAUGGUUCAAAAGUGAAAGACGGUCUUGCUGUCACUUAUAGAUGGAUCCGCGCUGCAUUAGCUAGUUGGUAAGGUAACGGCUUACCAAGGCAACGAUGCAUAGCCGACCUGAGAGGGUGAUCGGCCACACUGGAACUGAGACACGGUCCAGACUCCUACGGGAGGCAGCAGUAGGGAAUCUUCCGCAAUGGGCGAAAGCCUGACGGAGCAACGCCGCGUGAGUGAUGAAGGUCUUCGGAUCGUAAAACUCUGUUAUUAGGGAAGAACAUAUGUGUAAGUAACUGUGCACAUCUUGACGGUACCUAAUCAGAAAACCACGGCUAACUACGU